RNAcentral lists this ribosomal RNA (352 nucleotides) under Ixodes scapularis (black-legged tick). Its description in RNAcentral is "partial 16S ribosomal RNA". Lineage: Eukaryota; Metazoa; Arthropoda; Arachnida; Ixodida; Ixodidae. The record is from RNAcentral.
GGUAUUGAAAUAAGAUUUUAAAUGAGUGCUAAGAGAAUGAUUAAACAAUUAAAAGCUUUCUUUAAUUAAAUAAUUAAAUUUAAUUUUUUUAGUGCAAAAGCAAAAAUGAAAUUUAGGGACAAGAAGACCCUAUGAAUUUUUAUUGUUAAUGAUUUAAAUUUUAAUUAUUAACAAUUUAAUUGGGGUGAUAAAAAAAGAAUAAGUAUCUUUUUAAUUAUAAAAUAAGUUCCGUUUUUAGCGAUUAAAUGAAAUAAAUACUCUAGGGAUAACAGCGUAAUAAUUUUGGAUAGUUCAUAUAGAUAAAAUAGUUUGUGACCUCGAUGUUGGAUUAGGAUUCUUUUUUGGUGAAGAA